GAUGAACGCUGGCGGCGUGCUUAACACAUGCAAGUCGAACGGAAAGGCUCCUGCUUGCAGGGGUACUCGAGUGGCGAACGGGUGAGUAACACGUGGGUGAUCUGCCCUGCACUUCGGGAUAAGCCUGGGAAACUGGGUCUAAUACCGGAUAGGACGAUGGUUUGGAUGCCAUUGUGGAAAGUUUUUUCGGUGUGGGAUGAGCUCGCGGCCUAUCAGCUUGUUGGUGGGGUAAUGGUCUACCAAGGCGUCGACGGGUAGCCGGCCUGAGAGGGUGUACGGCGACAUUGGGACUGAGAUACGGCCCAGACGCCUACGGGAGGCAGCAGUGGAGAGUAUUGCACAAUGGGCGCAAGCCUGAUGCAGCGACGCCGCGUGGGGGAUGACGGCCUUCGGGUUGUAAACUCCUUUCGCUAGGGACGAAGCGCAAGUGACGGUACCUGGAGAAGAAGCACCGGCUAACUACGUG
RNAcentral lists this ribosomal RNA (466 nucleotides) under uncultured bacterium. RNAcentral's name for it is "partial 16S ribosomal RNA". It matches the Rfam family "Bacterial small subunit ribosomal RNA", at positions 28 to 507 of the family's 1533-position model. The record is from RNAcentral.